AACUGCAUUCGAAACUGGCAGGUUAGAGUUUUGUAGAGGGGGGUAGAAUUCCAGGUGUAGCGGUGAAAUGCGUAGAGAUCUGGAGGAAUACCGGUGGCGAAGGCGGCCCCUUGGACAAAGACUGACGUUCAGGUGCGAAAGCGUGGGGAGCAACCAGGAUUAGAUACCUUGGUAGUCCACCCCGUAAACGAUUUCGAUUUGGAGGUUGUUCCCUUGAGGAGUGGCUUCCGGAGUUAACGCGUUAAGUCGACCGCUUGGGGAGUACGGCCGCAAGGUUAAAAUUCAAAUGAAUUGACGGGGGCCCGCCCAAGCGGUGGAGCAUGUGGUUUAAUUGGAUGCAACGGGAAGACCCUUACAUACUCUUGACAUCCAGAGAAUUUAGCAGAGAUGCUUUGGUCCUUUCGGGACCUUUGAGACAGGUGCUGCAUGGCUGUCUUCAGUUCGUUUUGUGAAAUGUUGGGUUAAGUCCCGCAACGAGCGCAACCUUUAUCCUUUGUUGCCACCGGUUCGGCCGGGAACUCAAAGGAGACUGCCAGUGAUAAACUGGAGGAAGGUGGGGAUGACGUCAAGUCAUCAUGGCCCUUACGACUAGGGCUACACACGUGCUACAAUGGCAUAUACAAAGAGAAGCCACCUCGCGAGAGCAAGCUGACCUCACAAAGUAUGUCGUAGU
This 673-nucleotide ribosomal RNA is filed under the name Lelliottia amnigena. RNAcentral's name for it is "bacterial SSU rRNA". It matches the Rfam family "Bacterial small subunit ribosomal RNA", at positions 619 to 1292 of the family's 1533-position model. Lineage: Bacteria; Pseudomonadati; Pseudomonadota; Gammaproteobacteria; Enterobacterales; Enterobacteriaceae. The record is from RNAcentral.